This 253-nucleotide ribosomal RNA is filed under the name uncultured bacterium. RNAcentral's name for it is "partial 16S ribosomal RNA". It matches the Rfam family "Bacterial small subunit ribosomal RNA", at positions 524 to 776 of the family's 1533-position model. The record is from RNAcentral.
UACGGAGGGUGCAAGCGUUGUCCGGAAUCAUUGGGUGUAAAGGGUGCGUAGGCGGAGGCCUAAGUCGGAGGUGAAAUCUUGCCGCUCAACGGUAAGCGUGCCCCCGAUACUGGGCCUCUUGAGUCCGGAAGAGGCCGGUGGAAUUCGUGGUGUAGCGGUGAAAUGCAUAGAGAUCACGAAGAACACCCGUGGCGAAGGCGGCCGGCUGGUCCGGGACUGACGCUCAGGCACGAGAGCGUGGGGAGCGAACAGG